AGUAUUGGACAACGGGGGCAGCCCUGAUCCAGCCAGGCUGCGUGUGUGAAGAAGGUCUUCGGUUUGUAAAGCACUCUAAGUUGGGAGGAAGGGCUUUAGGUUAAUACCUUGAAGUUUUGACGCUACUAACCGAAUAAGCAACGGCUAACUCUGUCCGUGCAGCCGCGGUAAUACAGAGGGUGCAAGCGUUAAUCGGAAUUACUGGGCGUAAAGCGCGCGUAGGUGGUUCAGUAAGAUGGAUGUGAAAUCCCCGGGCUUAACCUGGGAACUGCUUUCAUAACUGCUGAGCUAGAGUACGGUAGAGGGUAGUGGAAUUCCCUGUGUAGCGGUGAAAUGCGUAGAUAUAGGAAGGAACACCGGUGGCGAAGGCGACUACCUGGACAGAUACUGACACUGAGGUGCGAAAGCGUGGGGAGCAAACA
RNAcentral lists this ribosomal RNA (422 nucleotides) under uncultured bacterium. RNAcentral describes it as "partial 16S ribosomal RNA". It matches the Rfam family "Bacterial small subunit ribosomal RNA", at positions 359 to 774 of the family's 1533-position model. The record is from RNAcentral.